UGCCACAGCCUGAGCUGAUCUCCUCUCUUUCAUAAACUUUCUAGCAACUCUGCAAGGUAGGCGAGCACUGUGCGCACUUCACAGGCGGCAGAGCCGACCCGGGCUCAGAGUGGUGGAGAACGUACUGCAGCCGCAGUCAGCGAGUCAGUAAGGGCAGAGCCGACCCAAGUCUGGCAGUGGUGGGCUUCCAAGCAUCUCCGAGGAGAGCGCAUUUGUUGGCCUCGUCGAAGCCCUUUCUCCCACCCCACUCGCCCAUCCCUACCCAACUCUGACCUCAGCCUGCCAAGGCAGAAGCUUGGCCCUCACAGUCUUCACUGGUCCCAAAAGGCACAGUUUGAAGCCCUUCUUCGGCUCACUGCCCACUUCUUCUCUGCGCAUUGCCAGUGGUUCUGGUUCUGGGAGGUGGGCCGCAGGCCAGAGGAACCUCGCCGGACAGGGCUUCCGGACCGUGGCCUGGCCAGGUGGGAGAACUAGUUCCCCUCGGAAACCUCCACCUGGAAGCUGUGAUCAGGAGAACAGGUCCUCGCCGCAGAGCCUCCCCUGCUCUCCCGAUGUAACGUGCCGAGGCCUCGGGCAAACAUCCGUCAGCUGCUGCCCAUCUGCGCCCGUGGCUUCUGCAGCAGGCCCGCAAAGCCAGCCGGAAGCUCGGGCUCCCACGUCCUCGCAGUCAGCUCCUGGAGCUGGAGCGCAGCGCAGCGAGGUCAGCACAGCAGCCUCUUGUUUCUCUGGCUCCCUAGGCACUGUGCGAAUGUGCUGGGCAACUGUGCAUCCUGCUCCUGCAGCUCCUCCUGGCAGGCAGCAGUCUGCUCCUCCACACCCUUCCGGAUGGCUCCCGGGACCCCCAGG
Molecule: long non-coding RNA, 846 nt
Filed under: Fukomys damarensis (Damara mole-rat)
Lineage: Eukaryota; Metazoa; Chordata; Mammalia; Rodentia; Bathyergidae
Description: lncRNA (ENSFDAG00000030799.1)
Source: RNAcentral